UCUACGGGCGGCAGCAGUGGGGAAUAUUGGACAAUGGGCGAAAGCCUGAUCCAGCCAUGCCGCGUGUGUGAAGAAGGCCUUCGGGUUGUAAAGCACUUUCAGUGGGGAAGAAAGCCUUGGGGCUAAUACCCUCGAGGAAGGACAUCACCCACAGAAGAAGCACCGGCUAACUCCGUGCCAGCAGCCGCGGUAAUACGGAGGGUGCGAGCGUUAAUCGGAAUUACUGGGCGUAAAGCGCGCGUAGGCGGUCUGAUAAGCCGGUUGUGAAAGCCCCGGGCUCAACCUGGGAACGGCAUCCGGAACUGUCAGGCUAGAGUGCAGGAGAGGAAGGUAGAAUUCCCGGUGUAGCGGUGAAAUGCGUAGAGAUCGGGAGGAAUACCAGUGGCGAAGGCGGCCUUCUGGACUGACACUGACGCUGAGGUGCGAAAGCGUGGGUAGCAAACAGGAUUAGAUACCUAGUAGUC
Molecule: ribosomal RNA, 464 nt
Filed under: Vreelandella stevensii
Lineage: Bacteria; Pseudomonadati; Pseudomonadota; Gammaproteobacteria; Oceanospirillales; Halomonadaceae
Description: partial 16S ribosomal RNA
Rfam family: Bacterial small subunit ribosomal RNA
Source: RNAcentral